Long non-coding RNA from Felis catus (domestic cat), 1562 nucleotides. RefSeq lists it as uncharacterized. NCBI's taxonomy places the organism in Eukaryota, Metazoa, Chordata, Mammalia, Carnivora, Felidae. The record is from RefSeq and is a predicted model, not a curated record. The transcript is spliced from 4 exons.
CAGCUGUGAUUUCUGCUCCCAGGAAGUUGUGAUUGUAUUUACCUCUCUGGUAUUUCAGCCAGUGAUUUGCCCUUUGGCCUGAAUUCUCCCAUGGAUCUAAGAAGAGAGGUUUGCUUUUUAGUUUGUUCGAUGCUUUUUCUUCUGAGAAACCUAAAGAUUUUUCUCCUGGCUCUUCACUGCGAGAAGCUGGUGGAUUUCCUAGAUGUAAACCUCACAAAAGUGGAUGGCUGCUAAGACCGUGGCCCGGAGGACUUUCUUAUUCAUGCUACUCUACAGUCAGCUUCCCACAACUCAUGAAAGCUACCAUUCAAGAAUUCUUACAAGUUUAUAGCGACAAAGUCAUUUUUUCCAGAAUAGCACAGAAGCAGAGCCUGAGUCUAAGCAGACCUAGAUUCUGAACAGAUAUGAAGCUGCUUGAAGAAUCCUGGAGGUGUGCACACUUACACGCUGCACCUCCAAGUUGAAUCAUCGGGUGCCUUGGGUAGUCACUCUCAAAGGCAGUUCCAAUGUCCAUGGUGGACAUUUCUUCCAAGCCUAGAAGUAAAGAGGUGGCUCAGAAAAAGUGGAGCUUCAACCAAGAGAAAUAAAGAAGUCAGUGGAAGGAAUUUGAGGAAGGGCACAGAUCUGUGUCCAAUGCAAGUAUAGUUCUAAGAAACUUUGAAUUGUAGAAGGAAAUAGUUUUACUUGAAUAAAUGUCAAUCAGUAUGAAACUUAGACUGGCAUUAUACAGAUAGAUGUUGUGGAAGAAAUGCAGGUAAAUGGAAAUCGUGAGCAAAGCAUAGAAGCACCAAAAUAACACAUUAAAUGGGAAUGGGAAAACUUUGGCUUGUCUGAACUAAAGACUGUGUUAUUCUUGGUUAUAUCUUCAUUUGAUUGGACAUUAUCUAAGAAAAAGGAAAACUGUGUUCUGGAAUCGCUGAAGUUCAUAUAAGGGUAGCACAAAAUCAGUGCCUUAUCCAUAUCUGCCUGUGGGCUUACCUAAAUGUCUUAUUAAGAGAGAAUGGUCUCUGGGGCUCCUGGGUGGCUUGGUGGGCUAAGCGUCUGACUCUUGAUUUCAGCUCAGGUCAUGAUCUUACUGUCUUGAGAUCAAGCCCUGAGUUGGGCUCUAUGCUUGGUGUGGAGCCUGCUUAAUAUUUUCUCUCUCUCUCUAUCUCUGGCCCUCCCCUCCCUGUGCUCUCUAAAAACAAAAGAGAGAAUGGGUUUUGAUAAUGAAAGAAGAUUCAGUGAUGUACUAAGCACUGGGCCAAAUACUAGGGAUUCAGGUAUAAUAGCUCAUAAUUAUUAUCAUUAGUUUUGAAGCUUUGUAUGAUAUAGGAUAGCUCACACAGACUUAUGCCUAUCUGUUUUAUAUACCCAGUCUUACACAGUGUCUACUAAUGGUUUAAAGAUGGCUUGGUCUGAAUUCAGUUCCCAACUCUUCUACUUUGAGUGUAUUACUUUGAACUAUAGUGGCUUUUUUUAAAACAGUAAAAUAGUGAUUGGAAUACCUCAAGCACAGUGUAACAGAAAAUUCACAAAGAAUCUGUAGUAGUGUUCUAUCAGUGUUUAAUGGAUGAUAUUAU